GACGAACGCUGGCGGCGUGCCUAAUACAUGCAAGUCGAACGCAGUGGGGACGGGUGAGUUACACGUGUGUAACCUCCCAUUAGAGGGGAUAACACUUGGAACCUGGUGCUAAACCGAUACUGAUGGAUGGACCCGCGGUGCCUUAGCUAGUUGGUGAGGUACCGGCUCACCAAAGCGACGAUGCAUAGCAGACCUGUGAGGGGGUUGUGCCACACUGGGACUGAGAAACGGCCCAGACGCCUACGGUAGGCAGCAGUACGGAAUAUGCGGGAAUGGACGAAAGUCUGACCGAGGAAAGGCGCGUGAGUGAAGAAGGAUUUCGGAUCUUAAAACUCUGUUGUUAGAGAAGCGGUAUCUAUCCAGAAUGCCACGGCUAACUACGAGCUAGCAGCCGCGGUAAUAC
RNAcentral lists this ribosomal RNA (403 nucleotides) under uncultured bacterium. Its description in RNAcentral is "partial 16S ribosomal RNA". It matches the Rfam family "Bacterial small subunit ribosomal RNA", at positions 28 to 526 of the family's 1533-position model. The record is from RNAcentral.